RNAcentral lists this non-coding RNA (110 nucleotides) under bovine gut metagenome. Its description in RNAcentral is "FMN riboswitch (RFN element)". It matches the Rfam family "FMN riboswitch aptamer (RFN element)". Rfam says of the family: The RFN element is a highly conserved domain that is found frequently in the 5'-untranslated regions of prokaryotic mRNAs that encode for flavin mononucleotide (FMN) biosynthesis and transport proteins. This element is a metabolite-dependent riboswitch that directly binds FMN in the absence of proteins. The record is from RNAcentral.
UUCUUCAGGGCAGGGUGAAAAUCCCGACCGGCGGUACAGUCCGCGAGCCCCUUCGGGGCAUGAACCGGUGAAACUCCGGUACCGACAGUAUAGUCUGGAUGGAAGAGGAA